CAGUCGCCGCGGGAAUACGUAGGUGGCAAGCGUUGUCCGGAAUUAUUGGGCGUAAAGGGCUCGCAGGCGGUUUCUUAAGUCUGAUGUGAAAGCCCCCGGCCCAACCGGGGAGGGUCAUUGGAAACUGGGAAACUUGAGUGCAGAAGAGGAGAGUGGAAUUCCACGUGUAGCGGUGAAAUGCGUAGAGAUGUGGAGGAACACCAGUGGCGAAGGCGACUCUUUGGUCUGUAACUGACGCUGAGGAGCGAAAGCGUGGGGAGCGAACAGGAUUAGAUACCCGCGUAGUCCCUGUCUCUUAUAC
This 301-nucleotide ribosomal RNA is filed under the name uncultured bacterium. RNAcentral describes it as "partial 16S ribosomal RNA". It matches the Rfam family "Bacterial small subunit ribosomal RNA", at positions 509 to 807 of the family's 1533-position model. The record is from RNAcentral.